ACGGGGUGUAGCAGGCGCGAAAACUUCACACUGUGCGAAAGCGCGAUGAGGGAAUCCCAAGUGCUUGCUCGUAAGAGUAAGCUGUUUUUAUGUUUAAAACGCAUAGAGAGUAAGAGCUGGGUAAGACGGGUGCCAGCCGCCGCGGUAAUACCUGCAGCUCGAGUGGUGGCCGCUAUUAUUGGGCCUAAAACGUCCGUAGCCGGUUUAAUAAAUGCCUGGGUAAAUCGUGUAGCUCAACUAUACGAAUUCCAGGUAGACUGUUAAACUUGGGACCGGGAGAAGCUAGAGGUACUCCUGGGGUAGAGGUGAAAUUCUGUAAUCCUAGGGGGACCACCAGUGGCGAAGGCGUCUAGCUAGAACGGGUCUGACGGUGAGGGACGAAGCCCUGGGUCGCAAACCGGAUUAGAUACCCGGGUAGUCCAGGGUGUAAACGCUGCUUGCUUGAUGUUAGUCGGGCUCCGAGCCCGAUUAGUGUCGGAGAGAAGUUGUUAAGCAAGCUGCCUGGAAGUACGCCGCAAGAC
Molecule: ribosomal RNA, 521 nt
Filed under: uncultured archaeon
Lineage: Archaea
Description: bacterial SSU rRNA
Rfam family: Archaeal small subunit ribosomal RNA
Source: RNAcentral